AAUAGUUGUCUUUGACGAGCGUUCAAUUUCCGUGACAGUGACGUCAUCGCCUCCGGGUCAAACUGGGCCGAACUGAGCCGAGCUAAUCCACUUUCGCCUGCUUCGCUAAUGACCACUUCAUUAUUGAUGUGUUUAAUUAGCUGCUUGCUAACUAGCGACAAGCUAACGUUAGCAAAACAAGAGGUAGGUUGUAGCGAGCUAGCUGGCUAGCCGUUCUGGAAAGUUCUCGCCAUGUUUUCUUCGACAGUCCCGUCGCUCGGCUCGAUUAUGGUCACCGAAGGGCGGAACCGCCACCGAAUAUUCCUUGUUUAGCGGGACUUUGAGGCCACUUGCUGGCAUCCCCGCCCAGCUCACCUGCCUGACGGCCGGACUGAAGAGGAAGUCACCAGCCUCCUUGAGGUCCAGCCAGAUCAUCGGCAUGCGGGGGACCGCCUCCAUCUUGGCCGGCCGCUGGCGGUGCCCUCCGCCGCUAAGAUGCCACACAAGUGGAGGGCGCCGUGCUGUGUGCAGAAGUUACAUGCUGAGGAGGCCUGCUAAAUGUCUGGAGACAUCACCAUGACAACCGGAGCUGCUGCUGCCACAGGUCACAUCCCGCAGGUCUGAUUCCCGCGUCCAAGCCGGCCGUGUCUCUGUGUCGGUGCGCGGACCUCACCCUGGCGCGCGCCUCUGUCUUUUUUUGUGUGCUCGUCCUCGCGCACACUGGGCUGGCGGGAACGGAGCGGUACCCCGUCGCUGUGGGCAACCUGUUGCCAUGGCAAUCCUCCAGCAAGGUGAUGUGUGAAGCAAGCAAAUGAGCGUAGCCCCCCCCCCCACUCCCUCACAGCCCACCCCCGCCCGACCCACGCGCACACACGAGCACACACAGGUGAAAGGUUACA
Long non-coding RNA from Nerophis lumbriciformis (worm pipefish), 878 nucleotides. RefSeq lists it as uncharacterized. Lineage: Eukaryota; Metazoa; Chordata; Actinopteri; Syngnathiformes; Syngnathidae. The record is from RefSeq and is a predicted model, not a curated record.